This is a long non-coding RNA of Xenia sp. Carnegie-2017, 129 nucleotides long. RefSeq lists it as uncharacterized. Lineage: Eukaryota; Metazoa; Cnidaria; Anthozoa; Malacalcyonacea; Xeniidae. The transcript has 2 exons. The record is from RefSeq and is a predicted model, not a curated record.
AUGAUGCUAAUGCUAAAGAUGUCGGAAAUUCUCCUGGUGUUGAAAAUACUAAACAAGAAAUCACAAGUGGUGAUGAUGCUAAUGCUAAAGAUGUCGGAAAUUCUCCUGGUGUUGAAAAUACAAAACAAG